CUUGCAUCUGGGAAGGUAUAGUCAACUGCUGGACUUGCUAACCACCAGUCUUCAGUCACCAUGCCCGCCCCCUGUGAACCGUGCAAAGAUUCCUGCAAGGACGGGUCUUGCAAAGACGACUGCUCCUGCAAGGAUAAGGGCUGCAACGACUGCUCAUCCACAGGCGGCUGCUGCUAAGCCGACAUGGAGGCGUCCCGCCGGCGCGCGCGCCGCCCGUCGCUGUGCGCGCGCGUGUCGGCGCUGCUCGAGGUGUGCUUCCCCGUCGCCUUCUCCGCCGUCUUCUUCGUCACCAUCAUGCU
Long non-coding RNA from Ostrinia nubilalis (European corn borer), 299 nucleotides. RefSeq lists it as uncharacterized. The transcript has 3 exons. The record is from RefSeq and is a predicted model, not a curated record. Lineage: Eukaryota; Metazoa; Arthropoda; Insecta; Lepidoptera; Crambidae.